Rhinolophus ferrumequinum (greater horseshoe bat) is the source of this 91-nucleotide small nucleolar RNA. Ensembl annotates it as small nucleolar RNA, C/D box 12. Its record names the gene SNORD12. The record is from Ensembl. Lineage: Eukaryota; Metazoa; Chordata; Mammalia; Chiroptera; Rhinolophidae.
GCCACUGCAGUUGAUGACAACUUUUUUCCCUAUCAGAUCGACCCUGUUGAUCUAACUAAACUAUUCGCCAGUUUUUGUCUGAUGCAUUAGC